RNAcentral lists this ribosomal RNA (406 nucleotides) under uncultured bacterium. RNAcentral describes it as "partial 16S ribosomal RNA". It matches the Rfam family "Bacterial small subunit ribosomal RNA", at positions 30 to 526 of the family's 1533-position model. The record is from RNAcentral.
AUUGAACGCUGGCGGCAGGCUUAACACAUGCAAGUCGAGCGAGCGGCGGACGGGUGAGUCAUGUCUGGGAAACUGCCUGAUGGAGGGGGAUAACUACUGGAAACGGUAGCUAAUACCGCAUACCAUCAGAUGUGCCCAGAUGGGAGUAGCUUGUAGGUGGGGUAAUGGCUCACCUAGGCGACGCUCCCUACCUGGUCGGAGAGGAUGACCAGCCACACUGGAACUAGGACACGGUCCAGACUCCUACGGGAGGCAGCAGUGGGGAAUAUUGCACAAUGGGCGCAAUCCGAAUGCAGCCAUGCCGGGUGUGGGAAGAAGGCCUUCGGGUUGUAAAGCACUUUCAGCGAGGAGGCGUUACUCGCAGAAGAAGCACCGGCUAACUCCGUGCCAGCAGCCGCGGUAAUAC